Molecule: ribosomal RNA, 506 nt
Filed under: uncultured bacterium
Lineage: Bacteria
Description: partial 16S ribosomal RNA
Rfam family: Bacterial small subunit ribosomal RNA
Source: RNAcentral
GAUGAACGCUAGCUACAGGCUUAACACAUGCAAGUCGAGGGGUAACGAGAGGAAAGCUUGCUUUCCUUGUCGACGACCGGCGCACGGGUGAGUAACGCGUAUCCAACCUGCCCCCAACUAGGGAAUAACCUUGCGAAAGUAAGACUAAUACCCUAUAAUUUCCUCAGAUGACAUCUGACGAGGAAUAAAGAUUUAUCGGUUGUGGAUGGGGAUGCGUCUGAUUAGCUUGUUGGCGGGGUAACGGCCCACCAAGGCAACGAUCAGUAGGGGUUCUGAGAGGAAGGUCCCCCAAAAUGGAACUGAGACACGGUCCAAACUCCUACGGGAGGCAGCAGUGAGGAAUAUUGGUCAAUGGGCGGAAGCCUGAACCAGCCAAGUAGCGUGCAGGAUGACGGCCCUAUGGGUUGUAAACUGCUUUUAUACAGGAAUAAAGUUAGCCACGUGUGGUUAUUUGUAGGUACUGUAUGAAUAAGGACCGGCUAAUUCCGUGCCAGCCGCCGCGGUAA